GAACGCUGGCGGCGUGCCUAACACAUGCAAGUCGAACGGAGAUUAUUGACGGAAGUUUUCGGAUGGAAGACGGUAAUCUUAGUGGCGGACGGGUGAGUAACGCGUGGGUAACCUGCCCCGUACAGGGGGAUAGCGUCGGGAAACUGACGGUAAGACCGCAUAGGACCACAUAUUCGCAUGGAUAAGUGGUGAAAAGGGAAACCUGGUAUGGGAUGGACCCGCGUCCGAUUAGCCAGUUGGCAGGGUAAAGGCCUACCAAAGCUUCGAUCGGUAGCCGGACUGAGAGGUCGGACGGCCACAUUGGGACUGAGACACGGCCCAGACUCCUACGGGAGGCAGCAGUGGGGGAUAUUGCACAAUGGAGGAAACUCUGAUGCAGCGACGCCGCGUGAGUGAAGAAGUGCUCCGGCAUGUAAAGCUCUUUCAGCAGGGAAGAUGAUGACGGUACCUGAAUAAGAAGCCCCGGCUAA
This 470-nucleotide ribosomal RNA is filed under the name uncultured bacterium. RNAcentral's name for it is "bacterial SSU rRNA". It matches the Rfam family "Bacterial small subunit ribosomal RNA", at positions 31 to 500 of the family's 1533-position model. The record is from RNAcentral.